CAUCAAUCAAAGCCAUGAAGCGCAAACACCAUGGCUAACCCUCCAGAGCCGCUAAUCCAACCUAACUUUCAACUGACUGGUGGAUUAGCUUGUUGGUCUUAUCACCUGCAAAAUCUGCCUCAUCAUAUAGGAAGGUUUAGGCAGGUUUACUCUCAUGAAUAGAACCAAGUAGCAUCCACGGGCAGGGUGAAACCCCAAAGCUGAAAGUCGAUGCAGACGCUGAAUUAAUUUUUACUCUCCAAAUACUGCAUAAAACAUCAGAAGAACACUGCAGACAUGCCAAAAAUACUUCAAUCAUCAUAAUGGUAGCCUCCAAAAUUUAAUUUCAACAGAAGGUACAAACAUCGAUUAAUGGUAUUAUGCAGAUCAACAACUGCAUAUUCUAUCAACAACUGCAUAUUCUACAGAUACAGAAAGCGCAGACCUUCAGAUUUCUAUUUCUUUUACUCCCUCAAAGAACUAGUUUGUAUUUCAUGAACCAUAGAGCAAGCUCUUGUGGCAGCAGAACACAGAAAACUAUCAACCUGUUCCAUUAAAAGCA
Long non-coding RNA from Jatropha curcas, 541 nucleotides. RefSeq lists it as uncharacterized. The record is from RefSeq and is a predicted model, not a curated record. Lineage: Eukaryota; Viridiplantae; Streptophyta; Magnoliopsida; Malpighiales; Euphorbiaceae.